Serinus canaria (Common canary) is the source of this 6749-nucleotide long non-coding RNA. RefSeq lists it as uncharacterized. NCBI's taxonomy places the organism in Eukaryota, Metazoa, Chordata, Aves, Passeriformes, Fringillidae. The transcript has 4 exons. The record is from RefSeq and is a predicted model, not a curated record.
AGAGACACAGCCCUGCUCACCCGGGGGCAGGCACUGUGUGCUGGCCCCCCAGGCACACCACACAAACGCUCCAGGUCUGCAAUCAAAGCCAGUCAGGAAAUCCUGCAAGCUUCUGCCUUCCUUUGAACACUCUACACUUGCAGCUCUGCAGGUACCAGGCAGUGACCAAAACCCAAACCAAAGCCUUGCUAAUCUGUGAGUUCCAGUCAUAACCCCAAAAUAACCGGUGACAACAGGGCAGAAACAAGGGGCCGACCCUGAGGAAUAAGGGUCAGACUGUGUCACUCCUCUUGGGUCAGACACACCUGGGCUAAUCCCAGACAGGACAGGAUUUCCACACCGUGUCUACAAUGUAGGUUGGACAUCUGCUCCUGUUUGAACAUCAAGCAGCAACUCCAGAAUCCAUGUACCUGCCGACCUGGACCACCUUCUUUCUCACUACCCAGCCAGGUGAUGCUAUUAAUCAGGACUUCAGCAUCACACAGACCCCAGGACCUGACAAGUCUGCACACAUCCCCCUCCCUCUCCAGCUCCUCUGGCGCCCCUUUAGCCACUGGAAAGGGCUCUGAAGUCUCUCUGGAUCCUUCUCUUCUCCAGGCUAAACACCCCCAGCUCUCCCAGGCUGACUCCAGAGCAGAGGGGCUCCAGCCCUGGAGCAUCUCGGUGGCUUUCUCUGGACUCGCUCCAGCAUCUCCUUAUGCCAGGGGCCCUGCAGCUGAACACAACUAGAUUAUCCUUAAGGCUCCUUCCAACCCAUUCCAUACAGUUCCAUACAACUCCAUGCUGGUUACAGCCUGCCUUUUCAAAGGCACACUUUGUUCUCCUCGGGAGUUCAUCCUCAUUACAUGGUAGUCUUUUAGCACAGAAAUAGUGUGAAUUGCUCACGGUAGAAAAAAAAAUAAGGUUAAAUUCUGCAUCCCCGUCUCUCCGGCAAUUGUUCAGUGCGACAUUUCCCCUGUCAGACCACAGGAGCUCAGCAGCAAUUGAGUCCCAACAGCACAGAGCUCCUCAGCAGCCGACCCACCCGCUGGGAAGAGCAUCUUACAGCUCACAGUUCGCUAAUAACCUCCUGAACAGAUGCUGAACAGCCUCAAAACCUGCUGAAAUCAAUGGCAACAAAACGCAUCCUGCAAAUCCAGCCUCUUACUCGGGAUUACGAGUGCCUAGCUGUGGAUGCCUGCCUCUGCACUGAUACAAAAGGCUGCAAACUAAAGAACUUCAAGCAUUGCUGAUGCCUGGAAGGUCCUUUCAAAAUAAUAAUUUUUUACUUCCAGUUCUGAGGGUUACUUUCUGAGGUGCUGGCACUAUAUGCCAAUUAUAGAGAACAACAAAAAGGGAAGUUUCAAUGGCUGCAUUGAUACUUCUGCACUGUAAGAACUCCUUAGCCCAGAGGGUGGCUGGGCACCGACCAGGCUCCCCAGGGAAUGGUCACAGCCCCGAGGCUGCCAGAGCUCCAGAAGCACUUGGAUAUCGCUCUCAGGCACAGGGUGGCAUUGCUGGGGUGUCCUGUGCAGGGCCAGGAGUUGAAUCAAUGACCAGGAGUCCCUUCCAACCCAGGACAUCCCGCCAGUGUCUGACUUAGGGUGAGGCUAGGCACGUUUCCACCCGCAUCAUGAAGGACACAGCGCAGAGUGAGACGUGCAACGAGUACGAUCCCAGGUCGAUGGAGCAUUGAUAAAAGUGUUCUUUCACACGUUUUGGAAGCGGCACUGCGGUAUCAAAGUCUAAGGCGAGUACCGGGGUGGGUAAGGCAGGGACACAGCGAGCGCGGCACGGCCGGCCGGGGCUGAGCGGCGGGAGGGCAGCGCUGAGCCCGGGCUCACAGCUCGCACCGCGCCGGCAGCGACCGGCACCGGCAGCAUCUCCGCACGAACGCCUUCAGGCAGGCAGGAGAGCGGCUGGCUCCGAGCGCAGUUCCGCGGCGGGCAGCAGACAGACAGAACCGCAGGCAAAAGCCGCACCGAGCGCGGCGGGGCUGCGGCCGGGGCCGGGUACCGCGCUGGCCCCGGCCGGACAGAGCCCUGCGGGGUGCCCGCGGAGACCCCGCGCCCGCGGCCCCCUCAGCGCAGUGGCGGGAAGCCGCCAUCACCGCGCGCAGCCCUGGGAAGCCCUCCCGCAGCCCCGACUUGUUUUCCCUGUCUAAUAAAAAUAAAUGCGAGUUCUCCUGUGUUCCAAGCAGCUGCAGCAUCUUUCCCAGAUCCCAGCCCACCUCUCUCCACCAGCUGCCCAGGAAAUUGCACAGCAGUCUCUGGACACCAAUGACCGUGAGGGAGGAGGAGAAGCUGAGGAGCUCCUGUACCUGCUUGCCCUGGGGCAGGAGGUUCAGCGUGCCGUACACCACCACGCUGCUCUCCGUGGACAGCACCAGCCCGUUGUAGCACUGGCACUGCAGCGAGACAGACAAAGGCACAGAUGUGUGCCUGCAUGGCAAUUCCUACAAUGCCACCAGCAGCAGCCUGGGAACAGAGCCCGCCAAAGUGAUCUGGGGUAAGGUUAAAUUAACUGUAGUCACUUUCCCUCCUCAGAGAACUAAACUGCCCUGGAAAACCUCGUUAAGAGAGGAGAUCUCAUUAAGUGCUACCCUGUAGGCAGCACAAGUGCUCUGUGCUGUGGACACACCAUUAGCAUGCUGCAGGAGGCAAUGGAAUUGUGCCCGGGGCUGGCCGGGAGCCUGCGGAAAAGCUCCCGCAGUCGGGAGAGAGAUGAGAGCUGCUGUGGGAGCUGGGGCAAAGGAGUCCUCCCCUGACAGGCCAACAAAUUGCUUUAGAGUUAAGUUUCUUGACACCUGGUCUGGAAGGAAAGGGCUGGCUGGGACGGCAGAGCCGUGUCAGAAGUUCAGAGGAAGGUGGGGAGGGAUCACGAUGUGAAAGGGGAGAUGGGAGGAACCGAUAGCACGGAGCAGCAGAGAUGCCAACUAAGCCCGAGGCAGCAGGUAAGAGAGGGGAGCACACACCCAGCAGAACCUGGAUGCAGGAAGCACCCAGCAGAAACUCAAGGGGAACAAACAUAGCAAGAAGAGAGAGGCCACUACUGCUUUGGGUCACUAUUCUGAGCACUGUGGAAACAGUUCAUGGGGGGACUGAGAUGGAACAACAUGGUUGUUAAAUACUGCUUGAUCAAAACCUCCGAGAACACUUUAAAAAGCUGGUUCUUGGCUGCACAGCCCUCAUGUUCUAGUUCCUGACUUGACAACAGGGGCUUUCACACGGCUUCAGACCAGUUUCAGAUCAGAAAACCUUACAUUAACCAUUUCAGUCUAGAGGAAGCAUCAGCUCCUACUGCCUGGAUGGGUGGGGAGCAGUGCCCAGCUCUCAGUUCUGCCUUCCAGCCUGGAAAAUCCUGCUGAUCCAACAGCAGGAUGGAUAUAGGGGGAGAUAAAGGAGAUCAAAACAGUAUUAAGCACAGGUUUAAGUAUACCUGAUCCACUUUAUUUACUAAAAGGGCAAAUUCCACAGUGCUUCAGUAACUCAGGUUUUGUGUCUACAUCUGCCUCAGGGCAAGCACCAGAUAAUAGGGAACAAAUUAAACCUUGUAAAAACUCCACUUACUGCAUUGGUUUCCAGGCAGUAAACAACAACCCAAAGCAAUCUUAUUCUAAAUUCUUCUCUGGAGAGUCACUGCCCAUGACACUGCUACAAGAACCUGGGGUGACUUCUUGAAAAUUGGGUCAUCACUCAAAGUGCCCUGAAAGUUAAGGACUCCAUCUAGAACAAGGGACGUGUAUAGUAAAAGGAUUAAAAUGCCACUAAAGCUGUUAUUUUCUGUUUAUUAUGGAUAUAAAAACCUACAAGCCUCACCAUUACACACCUGCAGGCCACCACCCUGCAUGUUCCUGUCCUUGGCACCAUAUUCUGCACUACCUCACACACUCUGGCAGUGCCAAGCUCAACAGCUGCUCAAACCUGGCCACGCAACAAGAUCGGUAUUUUAAGCAAGAAUCAUAAAGCAAACUCAAAUAGUACAAAAAGUAACUCAGAGACCCUUCUGAAACUGCUUCAGGUCUCUGGAGUUUAAAUAGGACAAAACAGCUACGGCAAGAUGUUCUACUGAUUUAACUUGGCAUUUAAAAAAGCACUUAAAUGCAAAGCCUGAGCCUCAGAGACGUAAGAUUUAUUUCUUUACUAGGUGUUACUGGAGCAUCCAGCAUUGCAAAACAAAACCUGCUUCCUGGGGCUGAAUACAAACUCCCCAAACUGCAGCAGAAAGCCAUGUCUGACACCAGCCUCUGGGGUGGGGUUCCCACAAGGACCUGCUGGCAGAUGUGAUUACAAUUACAUGUUCUCUAAGAGACAGCAGAAUUAUUCUGCCAUCCUCAGCUGUCCCUCACCAGUAACAGAGAGUCAGAGCCAAAAUGGGAACAUCGACAAAGAGCCUGGUAGGGAACAGCAACCAAGAGGGCACUCUGGGGCUGCCACCCUGGAGAGCACCCACAGGAGAAAUCAGAGCCCACAGAGCACCUGCAUGGCUCCACCAGAGCAGACACCUUUAUUCCAGGGGCUCGAGUCCAUAUCCCAGCUCAAACCCUGCGAGGUUUCAGACUCGUCUUUCAUCCAUGGGCACAGGACUAAGGGAUGGCUGUAACUGCACUUGAGACCUGAAAUUUGGAAUUGCAAAGACAGCCCAGCAUCCACUCUCAGGUCAUCAUCCAUCCUCAGCCCAAUAAUGACACAAUUGGUACCAGUUAAUGCUCCUCAAGUUAUUUUUAACACCCCCAAAGCAUGGCCAGAAGCCAAGGCUUCAAACAGCAGGAUAUUGCAUUUCUGCUCUCCCCUCAGGGAUCCCAGCCUAAGGCUUUGGCAGAGUAUGGGCCUUCAUUAAAAAUGUGUUCAGCAACUCAUCUCCCUGGAACCAGAGCUGCUACAGGGAAACCAGCAAAUCAUCAACUGCUUCCAAUAGAUGAGAUGGAUCACUGAUUACUCACAGCAGAUAUGAAAUGUGACUGGUAGCAAGUGCUUGGACAGGCAGAUAGACAGGUUUUCUGAAAAGCUAAAACCUUCCAGGUAAUCUUUAUGACAUUUUGAGAGGAAAAGAAAACAGCAGCUAGAAUAGCAUGAAUCAGCACAAAUGGGCCAAGGAAAUAACCUUCACUCCAAACAGUACUAACUUCAGGUAGAUUGCCAUGUAAAUUACAUGCUUAAAACUGAUCAAUUUAUAGAUCUACUUCACACACAACAGCUCCAGUUACUUCCUUGAAUGGCUGCCUUACAGUAAUUGAAGACACAAAAAUGCUAUCUUGAAGGGAAUGAUUUCCCUCAGUCAUCUGUUCUCAAACACACUGGCUGUCCCAUGCACACUAAGAAAGGUAAAGCCCCAGAGCUGGGAUGCCCCAGAGAAAGGUGAGCUCAGGAGUUUAAUGUAUUUUGAGCCAGCUGAGGCUAAGAGUGUAGGGUAAUGAAAGCCAGCUCCUGACCCUACACACUGUGACCCUGGAAACAGCUCCCACUGGAGCCUGCCAAUACGUGGUGACUCAGAAUCACCCCAAAAGGUUAAAAUCAGAGGGAUUCCAGUAUGGCUGCAGAUAAAAUGCUCGUGGGGAAGUGAUGCACCCACACAACUCAGGAGAGCACCACGUGUUAUACCCGAGAUCUGCACCCAACAGAAGCACCAAGGACCCCACUCUCCCUGCAAGGUGAGAAGUCCUCGGGGCUCCUGUUCUGCGAGUGACAGGUCCCAGAGGAGUCAGCCUGGCUGCACCAUCGAGUGCUGCUGGGCACCCAGCCCCUCAGUUUACACACACCAUUUUUAAAUGCAAAGUGCAUCUAUUUGAUUCACAUUAGUACCUUAACACAGGCACUUACUACUGCUCUGGAGGCUGUACAAACUCUGAGGAUUAAGGACUAAUUCCAGUUCCAAGAGACUUUUAAAUUGCUAUUGUAUGCAGCCAACCUUGCAACACCCACAGAUCUUUAGUUCCUCCCCUGAACACACUGCAGACCUGUUCAAGCAAGCUGAGACACCAAGACCCUGAAACCCUCUAGAGGGAGGAGAGAGGGUACAGUUCUGUGCUGCUGACAAAUGUUGAAGUCCCAUCUUGGGGAAAAAAUUAAAAUAGAAAGCAGAGGCUAUUGUGUACUCCCCGGUGUAGCUACUUAUUAAAACUUGUAUGAAAAGAAGUAUGAAGGACUUUCCAAUAUAACUCCUUUAUCCCGAUGAGCCAACAGGAUUUGACACAGGGAAGAGAUUAACUAGACAGCAAGAAUUUAACAGAAAAUCACUGCAAGAAAGAGACCCACAGCGUACAGGGCAGCUGCCUGAGGUUACACAAAAAGGGCUGAAGAUGGGCCAUUGCAGGAACCAAAUCAUCAUUUCUCCACUAUCUGCCCUAGGAUUUCUCAUUAAUAGAUCUGCAGAGUUCUGUCAUUUAAAGUCCAAGGCAAGACAAGCUAUCUUUGCAGAAGAUAAGAGGUUAGUAACCUUUGCUCAAGCUGCAGGUUCCAGCCCUCUCUGAAGGGGUUUCAGCCUGCCUUUUCGAGGGUGUUACCUUGGUCUCGAGGUUCAUGUUAUACAACAGCACAUAUUGAAGUUAAUAGAGGGAAAAAUAAUUAUUGUUGUGCACAUCUAAACUGCCUUGUUUGGAGUAGAAGAUUUUUGGAACUUCAUAGAGAGUUUUUUUCCUAGCAAUCACUGUCACCAUCAAAACCAGCAGGUAUUUUUAACUGGACUAAAUAAAGGUUACUUCCUGCUACCAAGAUUGGAGAUGCCAUUGACACACCUCUUCUGGCAGCAUCUACAACAGACACUAAAGCCAC